RNAcentral lists this ribosomal RNA (595 nucleotides) under uncultured Sebacina. RNAcentral's name for it is "eukaryotic LSU rRNA". The stretch from base 233 to 386 matches the Rfam family "5.8S ribosomal RNA". Lineage: Eukaryota; Fungi; Basidiomycota; Agaricomycetes; Sebacinales; Sebacinaceae. The record is from RNAcentral.
AAGUCGUAACAAGGUUUCCGUAGGUGAACCUGCGGAAGGAUCAUUAUUGAUUGUAAACUGUUGCCGUCUGUGCUGGCUCCUGCAAGUGCACGUCGGUGACUUUCAUUCAUUCCAAUACCCUUGUGAACCUUUGGCCUCUUGCUAGCUGGCUUCUUCAGCUGCUGGCAGAGGAUUCUACAUACAAACUCGAAUGUAAUGAAACUCUUGUUGUGCGCAAGCACUACUAUUAUACAACUUUCAACAACGGAUCUCUUGGCUCUCGCAUCGAUGAAGAACGCAGCGAAAUGCGAUAAGUAAUGUGAAUUGCAGAAUUCAGUGAAUCAUCGAAUCUUUGAACGCACCUUGCACCCUUUGGCAUUCUGAAGGGUAUGCUCGUUUGAGUGUCAUUGUACUCUCACACUCCCGAUCUUUGCAUUGGGAGCAGUGGACUUGGGUUUGCUGCUUCACCGUCGCUUACCUCAAAUAGGUUAGUGCAACUCUUGGUUGGACAUAGUACGGCGUGAUAAGUGUUCUUCGCCGGUGCCUCGCAAAGAGGGUGGCCGAUCGGGAUGUUGUGCUCCAAACCGUCUUCGGACAAUCUCUGACGACUGACCUC